RNAcentral lists this non-coding RNA (24 nucleotides) under Cricetulus griseus (Chinese hamster). Lineage: Eukaryota; Metazoa; Chordata; Mammalia; Rodentia; Cricetidae. The record is from RNAcentral.
AUCAACUGGAAGGAGCUGUGAUGC